Molecule: ribosomal RNA, 468 nt
Filed under: uncultured bacterium
Lineage: Bacteria
Description: partial 16S ribosomal RNA
Rfam family: Bacterial small subunit ribosomal RNA
Source: RNAcentral
GACGAACGCUGGCGGCGUGCUUAACACAUGCAAGUCGAACGGAAAGGCCCUGCUUUUGUGGGGUGCUCGAGUGGCGAACGGGUGAGUAACACGUGAGUAACCUGCCCUUGACUUUGGGAUAACUUCAGGAAACUGGGGCUAAUACCGGAUAGGAGCUCCUGCUGCAUGGUGGGGGUUGGAAAGUUUCGGCGGUUGGGGAUGGACUCGCGGCUUAUCAGCUUGUUGGUGGGGUAGUGGCUUACCAAGGCUUUGACGGGUAGCCGGCCUGAGAGGGUGACCGGCCACAUGGGGACUGAGAUACGCACCAGAGUCCUACGGUAGGCAGUGGUGGGAAACAUUGCACAAUGGGCGCGAGCCUGAUGCAGUAACGCCGCGUGCGUGAUGACGGCCUUCUGGUUGUAAACCGCAUUCGCCUAUGACGAAGCGUGAGUGACGGUAAUGGGUAAAUAAGCACCGGCUAACUACGUG